ACAUUACAAUGUUUUACACAAAUACAGACUCAUUCUCUCUACUAAACUACAAUCAGAUUUCAGCAUUCAAUCUUUCUUCUUUUCAAAUAAUAUCAAUCACAUUUCCAUUCCAUAAUUCACUUCACAAUAUUCAGAAACUUUCAAUCCUCUUAUUCAAAGAAAAUAACAAACAAAAGAAAAGAGGUAGCACCAAGCUUACCCCGGCUCACAACUCUCACAGUCUCGCCCUCGGCUCACACUAUCGCAGUCUCGCCCUCGGCUCAGCACUAUCGUAGUUUGGCCCUCGGCUCAGCACUAUCGCAGUUUGGCAUUUUCUUUCUCUCUCCCAUCCUUCGUAUACUACCCUGAGAUAUCAACUCCUAUACUACAGAUGGUAACUACUUUUCCUGACUAUUCAUCCAUUCUACCUGCUGAACUACCUUUUCAGCAGUUAUCUAUCCCUGUUUACACUAUACACUAGGUAUCUACAUUCUGAAAAUAACUACUUAUUCUACAUAGCCCCACUCCUAACUGUGCAGUGUCCUCGCAAACACUCAAUUGAUACCUAUUUAAAAAUUAUCUAACAAAACUCUACAAAAAUUGUGAUCCCUCUGGCCUAUCUAAUUAAUCAAUUGCCACAGUAUCUAUUAUUGGUUCCAUUGAUUCUAGUUCCAACUACAAAUCUUCGUCUUCGUCCAAUCCUUCCAUCGACUCUUGUCUCAACUGAGCUAAAAGGUCUUCAUUGUACUCGCCCAGUUUACGGACUUGAGCUUCCAAUUUCAGGAUUUGGGCAUCUCUCAAUUCCAACUGGUACUGAAAAAGACUCCUCUCUUCUGGAACUUCGGGAACUUGCAACGUUGAUACUUGUGCUUGACCAAUAUUGACUAAAUCCUCUGCCAAUCUUGUCACCUCAAUGUUCAAGGCCUCAAUUUCAGCCCUUAACUGCUCCGUUUCAUAUCUGUAUUGGUCACUCAAUACCAAUUUCUCUUGCGCCAAUAACUCGGUCUUUUCUCAUUCCAUUACUAACUGAUCCUUCACUUUUUCUAGUUCCAAAAUUGAAUGACUGCGAGCCCGGAAUAGUUCUUGCCUGUGAGUCUCUACCAUGCAUUCUCUUUCUUGUGAUUGGCUCCUCACUGUUAACUCUUAACUGGAACUACUACUUUCGAAAACACAAGAAAUACAACAAAAUGGCACUCUAGCCAACCCAAAACAAUAUCAAAAAAUGACUUUAACUGGUGCCCCACUCUUAUUCUUUUACUACCUAGUGAUAAUACCAAUAUGUUACCCAUACUGUCCGUGAAAGGUAAUGAGAAGUAAUCUUUCUUGGUGGCCGCAAUAAGUUUCCAGAAAUCCUGAAAAAUUUGGAUUUUUCCAUUCUUUUUUCAUACCCUCACGAUUGACGACAUCCAUGCACUAUGCGGAACAGGAUAAAUAAAACCCACGUCGAGAAAUUUAUCCAAUUCCUCUUUCACUAAAAGAAAAUAUUUUGGAUUAAGCCAGUAUUGCCUCUGCUGUACCGUUUUAGCGUUCUCCUCUAAAAUGAUACGACGCUCACAGACUUCACCGGGAAUACCUUUUAAAUCAUCAUAAGUCCAAGCAAAAGUAGAUUUAUGAUGUAAGAAAAAUUCGGUCCAACAUGUCAACUCUUGUUCCUUAAUACCUUCGUAGACCUUAAUUGUCCGAGGUUCUGAUGUGGUCGCCAAGUUGAUAGUUUGACAUAAAGGUGCAACAGCGAUGUUCUAUUUCAACCCCCGUGCUAGUUUAAAGUCAGUCGGUAAGUUCGACAUGUAUGAACUACUAAAUCCUAUGUCCAGGGCACUAAUAUGGUGCACAUCAUACUUGGUCAUCCAAUCAGUACUAACAUAAUCCGAGUUUUCCGAGUCCGUCGGGUAUAUCAAGUACUCCCCUGGACCUCCACAUUAGUACACCACUCCAGGGUGUAGUGUUGCCUCCACGGGCGCCUCCGUAAUUGGUGCUACUGCAUCGUCAUCGGAGCUAAGCUCAUCGUUCGAUGUUAAUUCAGAUGCUGGCAAUUGAGACUCCUCGUGAUAAUGUACUGGGUACAUCUGUAACACCAUUUUGUCUCUAUCCUUGCCAAUUGUCAAAGUACCCCGACCCCAAUCAUUCUUAGCUUUGGCUUGAUAAAGCCAAGAUCGUUCCAAUAAAAUUGGAUAUGAUAAAGUCAAACAUUGUAAUCGAAAGAUGAUAUAGUUGAUUUCAUAUCCAAUACCGGUAAUCAUAGUUUGAGCACCCCGUAAGAUACCCAUUGCUUUAACCUGCCUAUGAUCUGCGAUCCGUAAUACCAAUGUCGUGGGUACUAAGUGUUCUAAAUCUUAAGCAUCCAUUGUAUCAGCGUUCAUUAAAUUGACGCUGGAACUACCAUCCACCUGAACAUCCGAGAUCAUAACAUCGUCAAUCGAAACAUCAAUGGUUGGUGCACCUAGAUCAAGGUUCAAACUGACUUCACCAAUUUCUUUAUUACAAUGUCUAUGCCAUAUUAACAAUGAAUUCAAUGUAGAAUGGCACUCUAGUGUGAUCGCUAGAAGUUGCUUCAUAGAAAUAGAAGGCCGAAUAGCAUCCAAAUCCUUCAGAACGUCGUAGGAUUCUAUAUUGAGAAUAAUUUCCAAUACUCUUUUGCAUUUUAUUGGUUUCGAUUUUACUCUGUGAAGUAAGAUAUCCUUCCGCCAUGGACUCGGAAUUGGAACAGCAGUCGGGGUUUCCUUGGAAUUCCCGCCCUCGAGAGGAUCUUUCAAUAGAUAGGACGUUUCUCAGAACUACGUAGAGAUCAAAACUGCUUGGAACGAAACUGAUGCCUCCGUAAUUGGAACCUCGUUGAGUUGUGCCACCGAUUUAGGUCUCAUAUAGGGUACGAAGCCCGUAACAAGACCUGGAUUGGAUGGUCCCGACAAAUUGGCAUGUGGAACCAAAUUGGAUUCCUCAGUCUGUUGAGGUGUCAAUAUUGAGAUAUGUCCCAAUACUGAUAUUGGUUCGUUUAGCCCCGUAGACGGUGCUACUUGCUCUCCUGCGAUUGGUUCAUCCAUGUCCUGAAUUGGAUUCUUAUCUUUUUGUUGGCCUCUAGUAAGCACUGCAUUUACUACCUCGACAUGAUAUACUAGUGAGUCUCAUUGAACAGGGCCUUUGUCCUCCGCCGGUUGGCUUGUUUGUAUUUGCUGGUCCCAGUUAUUAUAAUUAAAGGGUACAUUGCACUACUGAUAAGUAUGACCAGACUGCUUACAAUUUCCACAUAUUGGAGCAUAGUCAUUACUGGCCCUUGGAUUAGGACAUUCACUUGCAUAAUGUCUGAUUUGUCAGCAACGAUAGCAAUGAAGUGAUCUCCUACCAACUCCUUCAGGGAUAAUGGGUGUCUCUACUGGUAUAUAACGGCUAGGUCUGUUCCAUGUCGGAUGAGUAAAGGAUCCUAGUUGAUCCAUUGUUACUGUAGAGUCUCGCAUUGGCUUCGUCAUAGGUGGAUAUUGAUGGUAUCUUGGUUGGUUCAUCACGAAUCCGUGAGUAUUAGAUACACCUUCUUGGUGAAAUUCAGAGUUGAGAAAAUUAAAAUAAUUCUUGUUUUGUUUAUUCACUCGAUUUCUAUUCCAGCUAAACCUAUUAUUCGUUUGUACUUGAUUGACAUCCCACAAAGUUGGUUGAGUCAUUAUCUAGUUACUGAGUUGUUGUUGCUUUCGUAAAUUCCAACAGUUGGUGGUAAUAUGCUUGCCCCCGCAAAAGGUACAUUGUAUAGUCAUUUGGGGUGGUGAAGGACCUUCUGUUAGUAAAUGACCUUGCCCCUUACAAUUGCUGCACUAGACAUUGGGACGCAUAUUAGUUGGUUUAUACCUUUUUUCUUUAUCUUUGGCUAGAUUCAGAGCCAAUUCAUCCAUUUUUUUCGUCAAUGUUAACAGUAAUGACUCAUUAGGAUCCCUUGAUACCAAUGCAUUUGGUAAUUCCUUUGUAGGUAUUGGUUUUUGAUACAUGGAAUAAGACACAUACGGAUGUGAUGAUGAUGGUGGUACAGCUUGCAAUGGAACGGCAUCUACUAUUCUCUAUGAAAUUAUACCAUAAUCAUUCCUUCCCAGAUAACUUUCUGAUGCGUCAUUCCAAUUUGUCAUUUGAUAACCUCCUUGAGAUGGAAUCAUCGUGGCUCCAACUGUUAAGUUCUGGUCAUAGUGACAUUCCUCCCAUACUUUUGCUCGCUCAAGAGAUGAUGCAAUGGUGGCUGAUUGGGCCUCCUUUACAAACAUUUUUAAUUCUGGUGGGUGUAGUCCAUUAACGAAUAUGGACAACACAAAUGAUUUUGGUAUUUGAUUAUUUGGCCAUUUUCGAAGUAUAUCCGCUACACAACCAUAAUAUGACUGUACCGCUUUCCCUGGUACCAUUCUGCUGUUCAUUAAUUUUUCUCUAAGACGUUCUUCAAAACCAAUUGAUUGAAAAUAGGCUAAAAAUAUAUUUUUUAAUACCUCCCAAUUGAUAAAUUGUUCCAAAGGUUGGUGAUUAUACCACUCAAAUGCUAUGUCUUUCAAUGUUACUGGCAGCCAUCUCAACCAAAUGUCUUCUAUUUUUCCAUUAUUGGUUACACACGCUGUUAAGAAUUGAGACAAAUGUUGAUCUGGAUCCGCACCUAGCAAACCCCAAAAAGUAGGUAAUGGCACGAUGCUAGUGGUUCGAUUGCCCACUGCACCCAUUUGAACUGCAAUCGGAUCUGCUGGUCCUUCAGAUGUCAUUAAAGAUGCCGGUGUUCCGCUCAAUUUCUUAUUAAAAUAAAAACAGUCUCCCGUAAAAGUCUUUUUCGGACUUCCAGGCCUUCUCGAUUGACUAUUAUUAUCCCCAAAUAAUUUUACUAGUUAAAUAUGAGGUAAAAAUGACAGGUUUUGAUAUACUUUGAAUUGGUCUUUAUUGGCAAGUGAUUUUUGCCAAUCUUCAGAACCAGUCUUGUUAGGAUCGGACGUAUUUCUAAUUGAGAAGUUAUCCAAUGGGAUACCUAAUUACUCUGUGUCUUCCUCGUUUUCCAUUAACGGCUUCGAGAGGUUUGCUAGACUAUUAAUAGUGCUCCUCGUGAGUGCUCUUGGCAAUUUCUUUAACGAUAUGUACUUCUAAAAUACUAGAGAUCAAUCGUCUUCUGGGUACGAUCGAAUAUGUCGACAAGCAUGCAACCACGACUUAAUCUAACUUUAUUGAUGCUUCUAUUUUAAUUUACAAUCUCGUCCAUUAUACAACAAAUUUUUUGCUUGCGAUCGCUCUGUUCUUUCCUUUGAUUGCUUUAUUCUCUUUGUUGUUAAAUUAUCAUUCUUAAUAACUAUACUCUUUCAUUAAACACUACUGAAAUCAUCUUUUAUUGCCAAUUUUUUCACACGUUUGGUAAUUAAUUCCUAAUACUCAAAGCUAUUAUCACUCCCCGGCAGCGGCGCCAAAAUGUGAUUGCUCAUUUUACUUAUUCUAGAAGAAACCUCCCAGCAUAAACACGUAUAGGGGGAUUCGAACACGGGGAAUGACUAGUUGCUUAAGCGUUCACGUUAGGGUCACACAAUCAAUUACCUCUUGAAUAUAUUGUCUCUGUUUUUAAUAUCUGAACAUACAAGGAAACUACAAUCUCCUCCUUCACCUUAUCGGUCUCUUCCUUAUAGCAAUUCAGUCAUACUAAUAACUGCUAUUUCUACCAAUAUAUUCACCCUCAUAAUCUCCAACUAUAAUAUUGCGCCCUCAUAGCUUUCAAGACACAAUUAUCCUCGUUCCAAUCACUGGAAUUCUUCACACAGAACUGCCAUUCACAUUACAGUGUUUCACACAAAUACAUAUUCAUUCUCUCUGCUAAACUACAAUCAGAUUUCAGCAUUCAAUCUUUCUUCUUUUUAAAUAAUAUCAAUCACAUUUCCAUUCCAUAAUUCACUUCACAAUAUUCAGAAACUUUCAAUCCUCUUAUUCAAAGAAAAUAACAAACAAAAGAAAAGAGGUAGUACCAAGCUUACCCCGGCUCACAACUCUCACAGUCUGGCCCUCGGCUCAACACUAUCACAGUCUAGCCCUCGGCAUAGCGCUAUCGCAGUCUU
This 6020-nucleotide long non-coding RNA is filed under the name Physcomitrium patens. Its description in RNAcentral is "long non-coding RNA (PPAT_LNC007396)". Lineage: Eukaryota; Viridiplantae; Streptophyta; Bryopsida; Funariales; Funariaceae. The record is from RNAcentral.